GAUGCUAACCGUGGCAGGCAGCUACCAGUUUCCACUUUAGUUUUUUAUAUCCUUGUCUUGCUUCACAGUUGAUUUCAGGAAGAAGAAACUGUGUAGGCCUGUCUCAGAAAUAACGAACUUGAAUUCGGUAGGCCACUAGGCCAGUAGCCUGACUUCUUCAAGCUUGCACUGUGAAAGAACAAAACAGAUAUGAUCUAGCCAUAGCAUUGAGCUAUCUUUCCUUCUUUCGCUCAUCUUUCCAUUAAUGCAACUUCAGUUCAAAAAUUAGUUAGUUAGUCAUAAGGCACUGUGAAAUUUGCACUUGAUUUGGCGAAUAAGAAGAGAAGUUUCCAUGUUUGUGUAGGUUUCUUGAAGCUUGGAGCUGUUGGAAUCUGAACAUUGUUAGUUGGUUUGAGGUGUGCCAUUCUUGCAGUGCUUUUUUUCAUACUAGGGGUGACAGACUGUACUCUGAAGAUUCUGGCUAAAUUUGAAAUAAUAAUGCAGUCCUAGUGCCUGUGAUGCUUGUCUCUCUCUGUCUCUCUUUCUUGUUGCAAAACAUUCUGAAAUCGGUGAGCUGAUCUUAGCAAUUAGGUGGGCACCGGUAUGAAGCGAUAAUCCAACAGAUUCUAGAUGGUGGACUUCAUUUGAUCAACACCACUCUGCAUUGUAAUCUGGACUUCCAAACAAAAAAUGGUGACAGAAGGCCUGAAAGUGGCGAUUAUUUCUUCGGGAUUGCUGAAACUCAGCUAGCUGAGAUUCAGGUUUGGUCUCAGUCACCGUCUCAACCGAUCGAUCGUUUUGCGCCGCGAUUCGUGCGUUCGAACCACUUCUCUGUUUUGUUUGCAGCCCGUUAUUUGUUGUUGCUGUAGUGGGCCGUUUUUUGUUUGUUCACUCAGCAGGCCCGUUUUCUUCUAUGCGUUAGCAGAACCGAAGCGUUAG
Molecule: long non-coding RNA, 918 nt
Filed under: Hordeum vulgare
Lineage: Eukaryota; Viridiplantae; Streptophyta; Magnoliopsida; Poales; Poaceae
Description: long non-coding RNA (HVUL_LNC014146)
Source: RNAcentral